Mus musculus (house mouse) is the source of this 441-nucleotide long non-coding RNA. RefSeq annotates it as predicted gene 44577. NCBI's taxonomy places the organism in Eukaryota, Metazoa, Chordata, Mammalia, Rodentia, Muridae. The record is from RefSeq and is a predicted model, not a curated record. The transcript has 3 exons.
AUCAUCAAAGCCACUCCUGCACAGCUCACAGAGCUGGGAACUGGAGCACACUGCACAGCUUGCAGACCACUCCGAAGGUUGGGAAGUGUCCUUUCCAGGGGCCUCCAUUGGUCUGAACCACUUCCAGAGCUGAUUUCUGCUUCUCCCAGGCAGUUGGUCCGGCUUGAGGGCUGAAGAACAUGCAUGUGGAAACAUCUUUACUCAUGAAGACACUGUGACAGGCACAGAGCUCCGAUUUAUCCAGGUGUUGGGAUGAAGAUGGCUUUACUCAUGAAGGACCAGGAUUUUACCUAAGGGAAGAACAUGCUUCAUAAAGAAGCAUUUUUAAAACCAAUUUGCAUGAUUACUGAAAUUUGAACUGGAACCUGAAACAGGGUAUUUGAUCACUGCAACAAGAAAUGUACCUCUAGAGUAGUCAUGACACUGAGACUACUUCACCUU